GAUGCGAUGAUGAACGUGUUGAUCACGGGGUUGAGGCAGUGGCGGGGGAUGGCUUCGUCGUUCCUCGCCGUGAGCCGAUUGAACCAUUCAAACGACUUCUCCUUCCACUGAGCUCU
Dioscorea cayenensis subsp. rotundata (Guinea yam) is the source of this 116-nucleotide small nucleolar RNA. RefSeq annotates it as small nucleolar RNA Z152/R70/R12. Lineage: Eukaryota; Viridiplantae; Streptophyta; Magnoliopsida; Dioscoreales; Dioscoreaceae. The record is from RefSeq and is a predicted model, not a curated record. The transcript has a single exon.